AGAAAACUGUCUCUGCGUACGAGCUACUUGCCACUUCACGCUGAACCACUCGUGUUGUAUCGACGAUUUUGCUCCAGGUCGCAACUGACUAGCCGAACAAGCCUUUUUAUUUCUAGAAAUAAUCCCUACACAUAAAACUAUUUACAUCAUUUUGAGCAAGUAAACUACAUUUUUCGACGGGAUUGUUGACGGGCGUUUGUUUGAAAGCAUAUUUGACGGAUUAAUCAUGAAGACAGAGGCCACCCCUGGGCAUCUCGGUGAGGGUGUGAAGGUCAUCUUUGACCAGGAAGCUCCAUCCAGUCGUGGCUCCGCUCGCUCCCGCAGCAGCAGCAGCAGCAGUGACAGCUCAUAUUCAAGCAGCAGAGGAAGCCACUCGUCCCGUGGGUCAUCACGACACCGACGCAGAUCCCGCUCCUCCUCGUCCUCUGACAGUAGCUCUUCCUCUCGGUCUCGUUCCCGCUCUCAUCCACGCUGCCACAGGGCCUCAGGCCACUCGCGCUGUCACCACAGACACCAUUCUCCUCCACGCCAUUACCGUGCUCGCUCCCGCUCUUUUAGCCCAUCCCCUGAGCGUUCCUCCCGCACCAGACGCUACCAUCGUCACUCUCGCAGUCGCAGUCGCUCUCCAUCUCCCUACAGGUACUCCAGACGCUACAGGCGUUCUCCAUCCCGCUCUCGCACCCGCUCUCCCGUGUACUGGAGGGGUAGCAGGUUUGUGGGGAGGUACCGAUGCCGCUUUUCUACAUCACCCAGAAACUCCAGACCUCACAGAAGUCGGUCCCGAAGCCGUGAACGUGGUGCAAUCCGCCUCAGUCAAGAGGAAAAGAAGUAUCUAUUGAACAUUGCCAAAUCUAAUGCCACCAAGAUUCUGGGAGUACAGAACUUAGAGUUGCCAGCUAGCUUGAAGGAGCUGGAUGAGGAAGAGAAGAGGAGGUCUUCAUCCGUUAAAGAAGAAAUGGUGAGGACUGACCCAGUACCACAGAAGACACCAGCACAGGUGAGUUUCACACAGAACACACAAUUAAAGAUGUAUUAUGAGCACACACUCACCCAUCAUCAUUAUUCAGAACUUUUUCAGAAUGCUUGGCAUAUUUAUUAAACGUAGCUUGAAUGGAGUAAUCUCCUGCUUAUGUGAAAUUCUAAUUAAUUCUUUUAAGUGGGAAUUUGUUUGGAUUUAUUUUUUAUUUUGGUACGUUUACUUAUCAAAAUGUAAUUGCGCGAUGUACUUCCCCAACCUGGGUCACCAUGUAAUCUGUCUCCUCAGACAUGAAUGGUUUUGCCUGAUGGAUUUAAUGGAAUGAUGAACAGCUCAUGUCCGGAUUAGAGCUGAACUCCUCCACCCUUCGGACAAAGAGGGAGAGGGGGGAGGUCACAUGACUUGAAUGACACCAACUAUAAGUCUUAAAUGCACAACUGCAAAGGUUAAGUAAAUGCGUAUGAUGUCACCUGCAGCCUUGUGUUGAAAAACAGAUCAAAUGCACCAACUGCAUAUAAGGGCAAUUCUUCAAUUUAGGACAGUGGUUCUCAAACAGAUGGCCUCAACAAACUUCCAGGUGGGCCUGUAGAUGAUUUAAAAUAAGUUUAGUUAUAAUUUAUAAAUAUAUAACUUGCAAAAAAAUUAUAUAUAUAUAUAUAUAUAUAUAUAAUUUCUUAUAUAAAUUCAAUAAGUCCCUUUAACAACAGUUUUUGUUGAACAGUUCUUAGAACCUCUGGAAUCAGAACAUUAAUAGUAAUUCAUUUUAUCCAUUGAUCCAUUUAUCCAUUGAUGUUUCCUAGUUUCUAUUAAUUACAUUUGAAAACAAGAAGCUUUGUCAUUACAGCAGGAUUCCAGAGGAAAUGCUGUAUUGUUGAGAACCAUUGAUUUAGGAAACAUUUCUGUUUCCUAGGGUGACUUGAACUAUUUUCUUUUUUUUUUU
This is an RNA transcript of Xyrauchen texanus (razorback sucker), 1916 nucleotides long. It is a transcript of the gene named arginine/serine-rich protein 1, with no coding region annotated. The transcript has 4 exons. Lineage: Eukaryota; Metazoa; Chordata; Actinopteri; Cypriniformes; Catostomidae. The record is from RefSeq and is a predicted model, not a curated record.